GAUGAACGCUAGCGGGAGGCUUAACACAUGCAAGUCGAGGGGCAUCACGAGGUAGCAAUACUUUGGUGGCGACCGGCGCACGGGUGAGUAACGCGUAUGCAACCUACCCUGUACAGGGGGAUAGCCCGGAGAAAUUCGGAUUAAUACCCCAUAAUGAUAUUUUAUGGCAUCAUAAAAUAUUUAAAGCUCAGGCGGUACGGGAUGGGCAUGCGUAACAUUAGCUAGUUGGUAGGGUAAUGGCCUACCAAGGCGACGAUGUUUAGGGGUCCUGAGAGGGUGAUCCCCCACACUGGAACUGAGACACGGACCAGACUCCUACGGGAGGCAGCAGUGAGGAAUAUUGGUCAAUGGGCGCGAGCCUGAACCAGCCAUCCCGCGUGGAGGAAGACUGCCCUAUGGGUUGUAAACUUCCUUUCCAGGGGAAUAAAAUCUCGAACGAGUUCGGGACUGAAGGUACCCUGGGAAUAAGCAUCGGCUAACUCCGUGCCAGCCGCCGCAGUAA
RNAcentral lists this ribosomal RNA (502 nucleotides) under uncultured bacterium. Its description in RNAcentral is "partial 16S ribosomal RNA". It matches the Rfam family "Bacterial small subunit ribosomal RNA", at positions 28 to 523 of the family's 1533-position model. The record is from RNAcentral.